RNAcentral lists this ribosomal RNA (253 nucleotides) under uncultured bacterium. RNAcentral describes it as "partial 16S ribosomal RNA". It matches the Rfam family "Bacterial small subunit ribosomal RNA", at positions 524 to 776 of the family's 1533-position model. The record is from RNAcentral.
UACGGAGGGUGCGAGCGUUAAUCGGAAUUACUGGGCGUAAAGCGCACGCAGGCGGUUUGUUAAGCUAGAUGUGAAAGCCCCGGGCUCAACCUGGGAUGGUCAUUUAGAACUGGCAGACUAGAGUCUUGGAGAGGGGAGUGGAAUUCCAGGUGUAGCGGUGAAACGCGUAGAUAUCUGGAGGAACAUCAGUGGCGAAGGCGACUCCCUGGCCAAAGACUGACGCUCAUGUGCGAAAGUGUGGGUAGCGAACAGG